Molecule: ribosomal RNA, 427 nt
Filed under: uncultured bacterium
Lineage: Bacteria
Description: partial 16S ribosomal RNA
Rfam family: Bacterial small subunit ribosomal RNA
Source: RNAcentral
UGGGGAAUAUUGGACAAUGGGCGAAAGCCUGAUCCAGCCAUGCCGCGUGAGUGAAGAAGGUCUUCGGAUUGUAAAGCACUUUAAGUUGGGAGGAAGGGCAUUAACCUAAUACGUUAGUGUUUUGACGUUACCGACAGAAUAAGCACCGGCUAACUCUGUGCCAGCAGCCGCGGUAAUACAGGGGGUGCAAGCGUUAAUCGGAAUUACUGGGCGUAAAGCGCGCGUAGGUGGUUUGUUAAGUUGGAUGUGAAAUCCCCGGGCUCAACCUGGGAACUGCAUUCAAAACUGACUGACUAGAGUAUGGUAGAGGGUGGUGGAAUUUCCUGUGUAGCGGUGAAAUGCGUAGAUAUAGGAAGGAACACCAGUGGCGAAGGCGACCACCUGGACUAAUACUGACACUGAGGUGCGAAAGCGUGGGGAGCAAACA